Long non-coding RNA from Gallus gallus (chicken), 2009 nucleotides. Lineage: Eukaryota; Metazoa; Chordata; Aves; Galliformes; Phasianidae. The record is from Ensembl.
UCCUGCCCUUGGCUGCCUGCUCAGCUAACAGCACUGGUCUUGUGACAUCCCGCUCAGAUGGCAGCACAUAUCCGUGUGUUUAAAAAAAUAUGUUAUCUUUACAGCAUUGCUCCAGUAAGAUGACACCCAGAAUACCAGGUACUGAAGAUAAGCAACAGAAGAACUAAAGAUUUGGAGCUGAAUGUGCAUAGAAGUACAUGCAUUCAAGUCCUGGGAUAACAACUUUUCCAAACCUCAUGAGAGCAGCGGUUUGGAGACACAGGACAAAUGCUCUUCCAAAGAGGUGGAGGAAGAGAAGAAAACCCUUCCCAUCUGCACUGAGAGCAUGGGAGCCAAGUUUCUGCCUGGAACGAUCUGAGGGGCUGAUGUACAGUUAUCCAGAAAUACAGCAUUUCAUCAUUUACUUCAAAGGACUACCACGGAAAGAGAGCAAAAGCAACUUACAUUUUCCAGUUCUGUUUUGGACUCAUGGCGUAACACCAGUGAAAUGGGAAAUAGCUAACGACUGCUUGUUCUGUUCUUCUAAAUUUUGCCAUUUUGUCUGCUCUCCCCAUUUCUCUUUAAGCACUUAUUUUUCUUCCUUCCCCCACGUUGCAAUUAAUGCUGAAAAACCUACAAGACUAGGGAAGUCUACUUUUUUAUAUAAAACUACUUUGUUUAGGUCUUAUAAUUCCUAGAAGGAAUUACCCAGGCACUCAAAUUAAAGUCAGGCCCACAUCAUACCUGCACCCUGAGUUUUAUCUGGCAGUGUUCAAGUAUUUUGAAAGUCAUGGGAAAUGAACAGACCUUGAAAAAAUAUGGAUAUCCCAAAUGUUGAUAUCAUUGCUGUAAACUUUUUCAUUGCUCUGGUAUUUGGAGUACUCUACACUGUUUAAUUUGGGCUAUUAACAUUCCAAAUGAAAGUAGCAAGAACUCCACCAUGAGUUUAUCUUUCUUUGAGUAAUCUUAACAUGCACCUAAGUCUCUGGUUAAGUUUCCAAGAACCCCAUGUCAUGGUUAUAUUUCACAAGCACAUUAUCUACCCUCUCUGCUUUAGCCAUUUUACUUACACUGCCUAAGUGGCCCCCCUGGAAGCACUCUCCAGUGACUAUGUAGGGAGCUUGGUCUUAUAAUUUUUCUCUUUUACAUCAGAGCAAAAUUAGAUCUUAGAGCAGACAAAACCAAAUUAUGCCAAUACGUCCAACAGCAUCAAGUUAGAGUUUUGAUCCUUUAAAUCUUAUUCAUGCAAGUAAAUCAUGGUCAUGGAGUGGAAAAGAAGAGAAGCUGUGUUAUUAAAGGUCACGGGACCAGGGCUUCAGAGUAUCUAUGGCUUUCAAAUUCCCAUGCUCAAGCUCUUCCCCCUGUUGCUAUAUUUCAGCCAAUUUCUAAGCAAUAUUUUCAGCAUAAUAAAAUCCUGAACUUCAAAGCAGGCUCUUUUUUUUUUUUUUAACAGAUGUAGCGAAAGCACAGUUACAAAAAUAAACAUCAACUAAUAAUGUAAUAAUGAUGGAAAGGGCAAGAUUCAAUAUAGUUCAAAGAGGUUCAGUUCAGCAUUACCUCUUUGCUACAAACCACGUAUAAAUACAUACACACAUGGAGGCACUAAUAAAAAUUGCUACACAGAAUAUACCCUUAGCUAUCCAGUCCCUCCACUUUAUUGCCUGCUUAUGCAGUAUAUGCAGUAAAGCCUCCUAGCAGUAAUUUAAUAAUUCAGUGAAUACUUACAAUAAAGAUACUGAAGAAUGGGAUUUGAAAGUCUUCUUUCUCAGCACCAACAGUUUCAGCUGACUUCACAUUCAAGCCUGACGCAUCAGAACAGUAGAGCAUAGGGAAAGUCUACAUUUUCUUGACUAUAAGCAAUUACUAGGCUGCUACUAUUGAAAUGCUAGGAUGACAGAACUACUUCAUAAGUGAGAAGCUGCAAAAUGUUGCUGAACAGUAGAAGUCUCGAGCUCAACCACCUGAUAUGCAUUUGAUGAAUGUUUUACUUUUCCUCAGUUUAUUGAAAUUAUCUUUCAACCUUUUUCCCC